This 497-nucleotide ribosomal RNA is filed under the name uncultured bacterium. RNAcentral's name for it is "partial 16S ribosomal RNA". It matches the Rfam family "Bacterial small subunit ribosomal RNA", at positions 28 to 507 of the family's 1533-position model. The record is from RNAcentral.
GAUGAACGCUGGCGGCGUGCCUAAUACAUGCAAGUCGAGCGAACAGACGAGGAGCUUGCUCCUCUGACGUUAGCGGCGGACGGGUGAGUAACACGUGGAUAACCUACCUAUAAGACUGGAAUAACUUCGGGAAACCGGAGCUAAUACCGGAUAAUAUAUUGAACCGCAUGGUUCAAUAGUGAAAGACGGUUUUGCUGUCACUUAUAGAUGGAUCCGCGCCGCAUUAGCUAGUUGGUAAGGUAACGGCUUACCAAGGCAACGAUGCGUAGCCGACCUGAGAGGGUGAUCGGCCACACUGGAACUGAGACACGGUCCAGACUCCUACGGGAGGCAGCAGUAGGGAAUCUUCCACAAUGGGCGAAAGCCUGACGGAGCAACGCCGCGUGAGUGAUGAAGGUCUUCGGAUCGUAAAACUCUGUUAUUAGGGAAGAACAAAUGUGUAAGUAACUAUGCACGUCUUGACGGUACCUAAUCAGAAAGCCACGGCUAACUACGUG